AGUGAACGCUGGCGGUAGGCCUAACACAUGCAAGUCGAACGGCAGCACAGUAAGAGCUUGCUCUUACGGGUGGCGAGUGGCGGACGGGUGAGGAAUACAUCGGAAUCUACUUUUUCGUGGGGGAUAACGUAGGGAAACUUACGCUAAUACCGCAUACGACCUACGGGUGAAAGCAGGGGAUCUUCGGACCUUUCGCGAUUGAAUGAGCCGAUGUCGGAUUAGCUAGUUGGCGGGGUAAAGGCCCACCAAGGCGACGAUCCGUAGCUGGUCUGAGGGGAUGAUCAGCCACACUGGAACUGAGACACGGUCCAGACUCCUACGGGAGGCAGCAGUGGGGAAUAUUGGACAAUGGGCGCAAGCCUGAUCCAGCCAUACCGCGUGGGUGAAGAAGGCCUUCGGGUUGUAAAGCCCUUUUGUUGGGAAAGAAAAGCAGCAGGUUAAUACCCCGCUGUUCUGACGGUACCCAAAGAAUAAGCACCGGCUAACUUCGUG
Molecule: ribosomal RNA, 492 nt
Filed under: uncultured bacterium
Lineage: Bacteria
Description: partial 16S ribosomal RNA
Rfam family: Bacterial small subunit ribosomal RNA
Source: RNAcentral